AGUGAACGCUGGCGGUAUGCCUAACACAUGCAAGUCGAACGGCAGCACAGUAAGAUCUUGCUCUUACGGGUGGCGAGUGGCGGACGGGUGAGGAAUACAUAGGAAUCUACUUUUUCUUGGGGGACGACGUAGGGAAACUUACGCUAAUACCGCAUACGAUCUACGGCUUAAAGCAGGGGAUCUUCGGACCCUGCGCGAUUGUAUGAGCCGAUGUCGGAUUAGCUAGUUGGCGGGGUAAAGGCCCACCAAGGCGACGAUACGUAGCUGGUCUGAGAGGAUGAUCGGCCACACUGGAACUGAGACACGGUCCAGACUCCUACGGGAGGCAGCAGUGGGGAAUAUUGGACAAUGGGCGCAAGCCUGAUCCAGCCACGCCGCGUGGGUGAAGAAGGCCUUCGGGUUGUAAAGCCCUUUUGUUGGGAAAGAAAAGCAGCAUGUUAAUACCCCGCUGUUCUGACGGUACCCAAAGAAUAAGCACCGGCUAACUUCGUG
This 492-nucleotide ribosomal RNA is filed under the name uncultured bacterium. RNAcentral describes it as "partial 16S ribosomal RNA". It matches the Rfam family "Bacterial small subunit ribosomal RNA", at positions 29 to 507 of the family's 1533-position model. The record is from RNAcentral.